UACAGAGGUCUCAAGCGUUGUUCGGAUUCAUUGGGCGUAAAGGGUGCGUAGGCGGCGCGGUAAGUCGGGUGUGAAAUCUCGGAGCUUAACUCCGAAACUGCAUUCGAUACUGCGUGACUAGAGGUAGGUAGGGGAGAUCGGAAUUCCUGGUGUAGCGGUGAAAUGCGCAGAUAUCAGGAGGAACACCGGUGGCGAAGGCGGAUCUCUGGGCCUUACCUGACGCUCAGGCGCGAAAGCGUGGGGAGCAAACAGG
Molecule: ribosomal RNA, 253 nt
Filed under: uncultured bacterium
Lineage: Bacteria
Description: partial 16S ribosomal RNA
Rfam family: Bacterial small subunit ribosomal RNA
Source: RNAcentral